RNAcentral lists this ribosomal RNA (490 nucleotides) under uncultured bacterium. Its description in RNAcentral is "partial 16S ribosomal RNA". It matches the Rfam family "Bacterial small subunit ribosomal RNA", at positions 30 to 507 of the family's 1533-position model. The record is from RNAcentral.
AUUGAACGCUGGCGGCAGGCCUAACACAUGCAAGUCGAACGGUAACAGGAAGCAGCUUGCUGCUUCGCUGACGAGUGGCGGACGGGUGAGUAAUGUCUGGGAAGCUGCCUGAUGGAGGGGGAUAACUACUGGAAACGGUAGCUAAUACCGCAUAAUGUCGCGAGACCAAAGAGGGGGACCUUCGGGCCUCUUGCCAUCGGAUGUGCCCAGAUGGGAUUAGCUUGUUGGUGGGGUAACGGCUCACCAAGGCGACGAUCCCUAGCUGGUCUGAGAGGAUGACCAGCCACACUGGAACUGAGACACGGUCCAGACUCCUACGGGAGGCAGCAGUGGGGAAUAUUGCACAAUGGGCGCAAGCCUGAUGCAGCCAUGCCGCGUGUAUGAAGAAGGCCUUCGGGUUGUAAAGUACUUUCAGCGGGGAGGAAGGGAGUAAAGUUAAUACCUUUGCUCAUUGACGUUACCCGCAGAAGAAGCACCGGCUAACUCCGUG